This 226-nucleotide long non-coding RNA is filed under the name Lathyrus oleraceus (garden pea). RNAcentral's name for it is "Pisum sativum (pea) long non-coding RNA (PSAT_LNC007047)". Lineage: Eukaryota; Viridiplantae; Streptophyta; Magnoliopsida; Fabales; Fabaceae. The record is from RNAcentral.
AUGUUUAUCCAUUGUUUCUGGACAUCUUGGACUCGUUUAAAGAAAAGGAAAAGAGUCUUAACGAUGUCAUUAAAGAGGUAUGUUUUUAUAUUUAUUUUUGUAAAAUUUUGAUAUCUAAUCUUAAGAUCAAUUAAUUUGAAAAGAUCAAUUCUAACAUCUACUUGUAGAAUCAUGUUUAAAAUCGAGCAAGACUUUAUAUAUCAUAAAUUAUUUGAGCCUAACAUCA